Long non-coding RNA from Dermacentor albipictus, 643 nucleotides. RefSeq lists it as uncharacterized. The record is from RefSeq and is a predicted model, not a curated record. Lineage: Eukaryota; Metazoa; Arthropoda; Arachnida; Ixodida; Ixodidae.
CCGGUUGAGGCGAUUGUUCCCGGUAAUUAUCCUCGUAUCGUUGCAACAAUGACGUUUUGCGACUGUGUUCCCAUUUUGAAGUCAUCUGGCUGCGUCGAUGAACGCCCUCUUGUCCUCAGUCAUGUUCAAUACCCCCGAUGUUACCGGUAAUUGCAAGAAGACAGUGCGGCUUCGACAAGACGGCCAUGCAAGGCCGUUCAGCAAGUUCAGCGGCGGCGGACCGCCAUGUGCUCCGUGUUCGGCCCCAGCGCUGCAUCUUGUACAGCGGCGAACCAGUGUCGAGUCGGAUUAAAGUGGGAGAGGUCCUCACUAAUAACAAUGCCACCAAAGAAAGUGGAACCCUCGGCUCUCCAAUGCUACUAUGAAGUGGACCAAAGCACCGGUACGACGAUUGCAUAUAGGUCCAGGAGUCAUCAGGACAAAUACCUCUGAAAAUAUACGAAGGAUAUCUCGUGUUUUUGUGAUGAUGAAGCAAUUAUGUCAAAAUUAAAUCCGUAUUUGAAAAGGCUUUUUUCUUCAUUCCUAUUGGCAGUGUAUACAUAUAAACUUCCCUUGCUUCCCUCUGCGUUCACCGAAACACUACUCCGUAGGACAAGGUUUGUUAUGUUGCUUGGCUCCCAGUUCAAAUGCGUACAUUUUCUUG